AUGUCAGGGCCGGAGCUGGAGCACGUGCGCACUGACGCAGGGGUUAUGAGGGGGACAUCUCUCCCUUGUUUCUUUGUCGAGGCGAUGCCUCACAAGUCCAGUAAGGAGAGCAGGCAUUCAUGGAGGGACAAUCUCUCGACCCUCUCUCUUCCUACACUCCUCCUCUCCCAGAUUGAGCGUUCCGCUGGAGCAUCACGGUUCUACGCGUCGAGGGGCGCCGUGCGGUUGCUGCCUGCUCUGUCUCACCGUGCAGUUCGGCCGUCGCCAUCCGGUAGAGACAUAGAUGGGUGGAUCAGGUUGCGCCUGAGGCCGAGGGCGAGGCAGAGGAGUGCGCUCCUCGCACUAUCAGUUCCGGUGGAAGCUCCGCUUCUUGUGGCCAUGUGUGUCUGUGUUGCCGUCCGGAAUUUCUUUGUUUCUUUAGUUAUAUAA
This 429-nucleotide ribosomal RNA is filed under the name Triticum aestivum (bread wheat). RNAcentral describes it as "partial small subunit ribosomal RNA". The record is from RNAcentral. Lineage: Eukaryota; Viridiplantae; Streptophyta; Magnoliopsida; Poales; Poaceae.